Zophobas morio is the source of this 2045-nucleotide long non-coding RNA. RefSeq lists it as uncharacterized. The record is from RefSeq and is a predicted model, not a curated record. The transcript is spliced from 5 exons. NCBI's taxonomy places the organism in Eukaryota, Metazoa, Arthropoda, Insecta, Coleoptera, Tenebrionidae.
AGGAUCACGAAGCAAUGCGUACACGUCAUGGAUGACGUAGAUCCGUUACCAACACUAAAUCAAAAAUACGCGCCGCAAUACGUGGCAAUACGGAUCAAAAUCGAUCAAUUUGGGGAAAAUUAGAUUGGUACAACUGAUAGCGAAACAUAUGCUAAAGUUUUAUCGAUUUCACAAGUGUCAUUGGUGUCAACUUUGGUUAUGUUGUGUUAUUGUUUGAUUUUUAGCGUUUUUCUACUUUUCUGCUCGUGUAAUCGUAUCAGUUCUUUUCAGAACUAUAACAGUUCUUUUUAGAACUCCAAGUUAACUGUCGUAUACCGUGGUACGUGUCGCUUGCUUGAACGUAAACAUUCCACCAUGCCGAAGCCCUUGCACAAAGGUGCAAAGCAAAUGGUCGCUAAUUUAGUGGACUAUUUUGCUAAAGAACGCGAUAGCGGGGGACCUCUUUUACCACUAACAGCUGUUCAAGACAGGGUUGCUGCUACUCUGGGUGUGUGUGUGCGAACAGUGAACUCCGUGGUACAACAAAUAAAAACCGGAGAAGGUGUACAUUCUCCCAAGAAAUAGAGACCCCCGAACAAAGCAAGUGUGUGAUAUUAGCACUUCGGAGCAGUGUGCUAUUCGAGAAUGCUUAUAUGGAAUGGUCGAAAAAAGUAUGAAUUUGAUGCGCACGCCUUAUAGAUACUAACGAUUAUUUUACAUGUUACACGAUCGUCAUUACUUGACUGCUUGAAGAAGAAACAUAUAUUUGAGGGUUCUCUGAGCUCUUUAGGAAGAAUUUUACAUUCUCUAUUGGGUUUCGUUAUUCUCCAACAAGUGUACGGAAGCGUCUUAUGGAAUUACAUGUUAUUCAUGCAAAAACAAACUUCUUACGUGAAUACAUGCACAAUCAGCAGAACCCAAAUCCUUUGCCAUGUGAUCUUGAUGAAACAUGGAUAUUUGAAAAUGGUUCGGUAGUUAGGUCCAUGGCAAGACGAUAGUGUCAAAAGUAUCAGGACGUUCAAAAUAGAAGGGAAAAAUAUAUUGUAUUACAUGUAGGUACAAGCAAUGGAUUUAUUGAUAAAGCAGCGCUGGUAUUUUCUUCUAAUACCAAAAAUCCAGACUAUCAUGGCGAAAUGAAUCAACAGAAUUUUCUCAAGUAGUUUCAGUUACUCAUGAAUCUUGAAGAACCGUCACUGAUUAUUAUAGACAAUGCAAGCUACCACAGUACCCUUGCAAACAAAUGUCCCAAUGGUUCAUGGAAAAAAGCAGAAAUUCGUGAACGGCUUUAACAAUAUGACAUAAGUUCAGAUCCAUAGCUGUUAAAAACGGAACUUCAUCAUUUGGUUGCACAAAACAAACAUCCAAAAACGUAUGUUGCCGUGAAUUAGGCCAACAGAAUGGCCAUAGAGUAUUGCGUUUGCCGCCAUAUCAUUGUGUGUUUAACCCUAUAGAAAAUAUUUGGGGAAUUACUACAAAUUAUUAUUCCAAACACAUUGGGCGUGAUGGUUAUGGUCAAACAAAAUUCCGUGGAAAUGUGGAAAGAAGCGUUAGCACAUGUCACGCCCACAAUGUGGAAAAAUACUGUUGACCAUAUGAAUAAAAUAAUACGGGAGUGGUGGGAUUAUUUGACCGUGAAGAGAUUGUGCCGUUUAUAAUCGACAUUAACGAAGAUUCAGAUUAUAGUUUUAGUGAUUAUGACAGUGAAGAUUCUAAUACUGCAGAGGGCAUUCAGCCACUGUAACAUGUAGGUUAUUUUCCAUUACCAUCCUAAUUGAUUGUACUAGCGGCAUGUUCUGCUGAUGUCUUUUAUAAUCACACUAUCACUUCACUGGCCAAAUAUACAGAUCACUGGUCAGACGAAGACGUUGUGCAACAUCAAUAGUUAUUAUUAUUUAUAGUUUACUUUUGUAUCUGUUCCAUGUCAAUAAAGUAACUUGUUCUGUAGAUGUGACGUGGCCAUUGUGGCAUUGAAGACGUUUUCAAACCGAUUCAUUUGUAUGAUAAACGUGGUAGACGCAUGAUGUCAUACAGAGUCCGUGACGUGUACGCAUUGCUUCGUGAUCCUG